AUGCCAAAGGAGAAAGCACCUGGGUCAGAUGGUUACACCAUCGGAUUUUACGCCAAAUGCUGGCCGCUUAUUAAAUCUGAUCUGGUUGCGGCCUUCAAUAGCCUUUUUAAUCUGGACAGUAAGGCUUUUGAAGGACUGAACACUGCUCAUUUGGUUCUACUCCCAAAGAGGCCGGGUGCUUCUGAACCCAAUGAUUUUCGCCCAAUUAGUCUGGUGCAUAGUUUUGCCAAAAAUUUCUCUAAAGUCCUCGCUAGAAGACUGGCUCCAGAACUCCCUAAACUGGUAAACUGUAAUCAGGGGCCUUCAUCCAGAGCCAGUCUCUUCAUGACAAUUUUCAGAUGGUCAGCGGAAUGGCCAAGCUUCUACAGCAGAAGAGGUGUGAUAGUCUCAUUCUUAAGCUUGACAUUGCCCGUGCUUUUGACUCGGUCGCUUGGCAAUUUCUCUUGGAUAUUUUACGAGCGAAAGGUUUUGGGCCCAGAUGGCGUGAGUGGAUAG
RNAcentral lists this ribosomal RNA (495 nucleotides) under Triticum aestivum (bread wheat). Its description in RNAcentral is "partial small subunit ribosomal RNA". Lineage: Eukaryota; Viridiplantae; Streptophyta; Magnoliopsida; Poales; Poaceae. The record is from RNAcentral.